This 267-nucleotide ribosomal RNA is filed under the name uncultured Anoxybacillus sp. RNAcentral describes it as "partial 16S ribosomal RNA". It matches the Rfam family "Bacterial small subunit ribosomal RNA", at positions 1113 to 1382 of the family's 1533-position model. The record is from RNAcentral. Lineage: Bacteria; Bacillati; Bacillota; Bacilli; Caryophanales; Anoxybacillaceae.
AGUUGCCAGCAUUCAGUUGGGCACUCUAAGGUGACUGCCGGCUAAAAGUCGGAGGAAGUGGGGAUGACGUCAAAUCAUCAUGCCCCUUAUGACCUGGGCUACACACGUGCUACAAUGGGCGGUACAAAGGGUCGCGAACCCGCGAGGGGGAGCCAAUCCCAAAAGCCGCUCUCAGUUCGGAUUGCAGGCUGCAACUCGCCUGCAUGAAGCCGGAAUCGCUAGUAAUCGCGGAUCAGCAUGCCGCGGUCGAAUACGUUCCCGGGCCUU